UUUUUUUUCUCCACGGCCUGAGGACGUGAUAGGAUUUCAUUCCCGCCCCACCUUGUGGUUGGAUGGAAUCAUGCGCCCAAUUGUGGUCAAGACCAAGAAACUGAGAAACAAAGCAAAUCCGUGGGAUGCAGAGGGUACGCUGAUGACUUCUGCUGGGGAGAGAAGCCCAAACACACGUCCUGGGCAGAGCCCAGAGACCUGGAGUGUGGCUGCCAGUGAGCACCCGGCUGAGGGACAAGCAGGUGGGCCUCAGUGGUGGCUGCCAGGUCCCUGGACGCCGGGGGCCACCGGCCUUGCCUCUCCUCUGCCUCGGAAGCACCGGAGGCUUUGGGGAUCUGGUGGUCCUCCGGCCCUGAACGUGGACCUGGUGUGACAAAGGGAAGUUUGCCAUCUCCAUCCUCCUCAAGCUGCCUAUGCACCCCAGUAGCACUCACCCUCUCUGUGCUCCCGUCUGCACCGCCUGUCCUGGGGUCCUUCUUUGUGCUGCACCCAAUGACAGGAACCAGUGCCCUGACUGUGACUUGCUUCCCCCCUCAGGGACACACAAGCACUUUCACAUCGAGGCUACUUUUCACCCCUUCUGCCUCCUGCAGGUACGCUGCAUGCAGAGGCAGGAGGACAGAGGGGCUGGUCUCAGGUGUGGCUUCUCUCACACCUGGCGC
This 662-nucleotide long non-coding RNA is filed under the name Pan troglodytes (chimpanzee). RNAcentral's name for it is "lincRNA". Lineage: Eukaryota; Metazoa; Chordata; Mammalia; Primates; Hominidae. The record is from RNAcentral.